This 1981-nucleotide long non-coding RNA is filed under the name Equus asinus (donkey). RNAcentral describes it as "lncRNA (ENSEASG00005038667.1)". The record is from RNAcentral. Lineage: Eukaryota; Metazoa; Chordata; Mammalia; Perissodactyla; Equidae.
CCAGCAUUUCUGAUUACUUUUAUUUCUAACAAAUAAGGAGUAAAUAACUUAUUUUAAAUUGACUUAUAAUAACUGUGAGCAUUUGUAUGAUAGCCAAAGCCCAUAACUGUAACUUUUUAAAAGUCCUACAAAAGAGGAAUUAUAUUUUGCUUACGGUCACUCAUGUACCUACCUCCUCUGUGUUCUUCUUGGUCUCUGCACUGUGUGAAAAUCCUUUCUGAUUUUGCUUUCCCGUUGAAGCUGCGAGACAUCAAUAAUACAAAGCUAUCUGGGAGUUUUACGGAAUAGUAUUCAAAUAUAUUGAUCAUGUUUCUUUCUGUGUCUAUGUAAUUAGAUUUUCUCCAGAUAUUUGUCAUUUUAAAAGCAUAUGUGUCACAAGAUACCGGUAAACAUCUAAGAAAUGUCAUUUUAUUCAGGGCAGAGAAAAUUAGGAGUCAGAUACGUCUAUAUUUCUCUGCACAGUAAGAGAAAUGGAGAAGUGUAAUAAAAAAGGGUUUAAUGAAAAUGAAGAAGAGAAAGAUAAACUCGGGUUUGAAUUGUGAAGCACCAUUGGGAGGGAUCUCCAUAUGCAGCUAAGCAGAGGGCACAGAGGCAGUCCCAAGAACAGAACCUUUUUGAAGCAUUUUAUAGGAAAUAUAUUGUCACACAGUCAUUAUGGCUGAUGAUGAAAAGACACUAGAGGAAGUGUGAGAGCCAGACUGUGAGACAUUUAGGGACAGAAACAGAAGGGGGGCGCCUGUUUACCUCCUUCAACCCUCACUGUCUAAAUGCUUCUGCCCCUGCUCCCCUUCUGCAAUUUGUGAUUUCCUUGGUGUCUGAGCCUGGCUGUGCAAGCACUGCCAUUUUCAUAUCCGUUCUUUGUCUCUGCUUUGACACAUACUUCCAAAAUGAGAUGAUUAUUUAGAUCUCCUGUCAUGAUGAGGCAACAAUAGUAGGAAGUGUCCCCUUGAACUUGACCCUUUGAAACAUGUUCAACAUAUGCUAUGCAUAGUAAGCUUUGGAAAGCUUUAGUCCCCUGAUGUCACAAUUGCUUCAGGGUAAGGCUUUUAUCUUCAUUAUUAUUUAAGCAGACUUAGAUGCGUCUUCCUCCCUAUGUUCUAGUGUAAACACACACGCACACCCCUUGCAUUAUUUAUGUCCGUUGAGAAGAGAAAGAUGGCUGACCUGGUGGGGAGUAGCAGAGGGUGCCUUAACAUUUUCAGGCUUGGCUCCCACUUCCUUAUGUAUUUCCUUCAUGUCCCUGUCACUUCAGAGGUGUAACCGUGUCUGUUCCAAGUUGUAUCUUUAUCAUCAGCAAGAACGCUUAUAAAUGUAGUGAAUGUGACUAUUUUGUAUAAAUGCACAAUAGUAUAUAGGCCUUGGAGACGUCUGAUAACAGUAUGUAAAUAUCCUUUGUUGAAGGAGUAGAACCUUCUCAUAGCGAGCUGCUUACGUGACAGCUACAGGAGGAUGCAUAGAUUUAACAUGUUGAUUUCUCUAGCAAAUUCUAGCAUUCACGAAUGCAAGGAAACAAUUUGUUUCUGUUUCUCAUUUAUUCUUAAGCACCAAUCCUUUGGGCUUUCUUGUUGAUGGGUUACUAUAGACAUCCCUUUCAUAACGUACAGGAUUCAUAAUUUGUGACGAUUGGAUGGCCACUGGGGUACAUCAGGAUCAGAGACUCUAGAGGGAAGGAGAGAGAAGGAUAGCUCCAUUGAAAAGCUUGCCUAAUUUUUGAAAAGUCUGAGACAUUUCUAGAACUCUAGUUGCCAUAUAGCAUGGUUGGUCUGAAAAGCUUCGAAAAAGAAAGUUUCUCUUUGAUCUCUUUAACUUGAUCAUUGCACAUUAUAUCUUAUUCCACAGGUGCACAAGCUGUUUUUCAAAAGCAAAUUUGCAGAGACUGGAGAUAGAGUGAAAAUUAUUUCUUUCGUCUACAAGAGUCAUGUUUUCCAGGCAUGAAUUCAAAAAUCAGCCUCAGUGUUUGGAAACUUUUUCAUGAUGAUGA